CAGUCGCCGCGGGAAUACGGAGGGGGCUAGCGUUGUUCGGAAUUACUGGGCGUAAAGCGCACGUAGGCGGCUUGGUAAGUUAGAGGUGAAAGCCCGGAGCUCAACUCCGGAAUUGCCUUUAAGACUGCCGAGCUAGCAGGUGAGAGAGGUAAGUGGAAUUCCGAGUGUAGAGGUGAAAUUCGUAGAUAUUCGGAAGAACACCAGUGGCGAAGGCGGCUUACUGGCUCAUACUGGACGCUGAGGUGCGAAAGCGUGGGGAGCAAACAGGAUUAGAUACCCGGGUAGUCCCUGUCUCUUAUAC
Molecule: ribosomal RNA, 301 nt
Filed under: uncultured bacterium
Lineage: Bacteria
Description: partial 16S ribosomal RNA
Rfam family: Bacterial small subunit ribosomal RNA
Source: RNAcentral